RNAcentral lists this ribosomal RNA (445 nucleotides) under uncultured bacterium. RNAcentral describes it as "partial 16S ribosomal RNA". It matches the Rfam family "Bacterial small subunit ribosomal RNA", at positions 354 to 796 of the family's 1533-position model. The record is from RNAcentral.
GUGAGGAAUAUUGGACAAUGGGCGCAAGCCUGAUCCAGCCAUGCCGCGUGCAGGAAGACGCAUCUAUGGUGUGUAAACUGCUUUUGUACGGGAAGAAACACUCCCUCGUGAGGGAGCUUGACGGUACCGUAAGAAUAAGGAUCGGCUAACUCCGUGCCAGCAGCCGCGGUAAUACGGAGGAUCCAAGCGUUAUCCGGAAUCAUUGGGUUUAAAGGGUCCGUAGGCGGUUUAAUAAGUCAGGGGUGAAAGCCCAUCGCUCAACGAUGGAACGGCCAUUGAUACUGUUAGACUUGAAUUACAAGGAAGUAACUAGAAUAUGUAGUGUAGCGGUGAAAUGCUUAGAUAUUACAUGGAAUACCAAUUGCGAAGGCAGGUUACUACUUGUGGAUUGACGCUGAUGGACGAAAGCGUGGGGAGCGAACAGGAUUAGAUACCCGGGUAGUCC